CCAAAACAAACAUUUGGUGAAGUAAAUAAAGAGAGUUAAAAGAGAAACAGAGAGAGAGAACCGAGAGAGAAAAGAGAGGAAGAAGAGGGCUUCGUGAGACAUCAAAAUUCAAGGCAAAAAUUGUGGAAAAAUCAUCCUAAGGAUUGGAGGAAGGCGUCUCUACACCUCUUGGGAAUUAAUUCGUUGAGUUUCAAAUCCACGCUUUUGCUAUUUUGGAGAUUCAUAGACUUUUGUGUGGUUCGCCUCAACUUAGAAGAUUAGAAUUUUGGAAGGAUCAAACGUGGGCAUCUUGUAGUUGAGGUUUUGUUUAGGGUCAUUCUAGGAUAUAGUUUCAUUUUUAUUUUAUUUUUUUUAUGAAGGAGGAUGAUUGUAAAUAUUUGCUUAUGAAGUUGGAUGUAUUGAUAGAUUCGUGAAUAGUAUGUUUUAUUUUUGGGGGAAGUGAUGCUUGGGAACUAUCUUGUAGCGUGAUGAUAUUUUGUUUUUGUCUUUGAAUGGAUCAUCUCAUAUAUGUUGGACAGUCGAAAGGUCUUUUGCACUUUUGGUGAUGUGGUGAUGUGAUAUAAGAAUUAUAUAGGAAUUGUUGUGUUCAGGUGCUGUAGCGUUUGAAGUGCACCCUCUUGGCAGGGUUUUGCCUUGCCAAGAUUGGGUCGUUACAGUUACCAUUCCGUGAAAGGAACAAUAGCCACUAAAGCCACUGAGUGACAUGCAGGUCCCAAUCAUAAUGUAUGUUUGGAAUGUAGAGAGAGAAUUUCAGAAUGGGGCCGUUGUGAAGUAACAGUAUAUUACUAAUUACACUCACAAACGUACAUGCAUAGAGCGGGUUAUUGCGGAUGAUAUCUGCAAAAAAGCGCUUAUUAAGCACAAGAUGUGGGAGUGAAGACCAAAUAUACCUCCAGUUUCUUGACAAGAUACUCGUCCUUGCUGCAUCUCGAAUGGGCAUGCGCUCUAGAAUGUUGUCUAUUAAGUUUCUUGGCAGGCCAUUGACUAUAUCAUCUGUGCCAUUAUCUAUUGCCAUCCUUUUAUGGCUGUCUGUCAUUAUUGCCUGAUAUUCAUAACAAGCACACCCAUUAAUUUUCUUUGAAUUUGUUCUAAAACUAGAUCAAUUCAGAUAUAUUUCAUUGAAUUUGAAAACUAAACUUGCAGUAGACCUUUAUACGUCACUAUUUUCUCUGUUAAGGUAAGCAAGACAAUAGCACAAUUGAAGCCUUGUAAUCAAGAGUAUGAGAACUAUACCAGAGUAGCCAACUAGAUUUUUGGAUAUAUACAUAUUCUAAUGUACAAAUUACGGAAGAGAAGAGCAACACAAAACAAUAUAUUACAUAUUCAAGUAAAAUUAUAUUCCCAUAAAAUAUACAUGCAAUUCAUAGAAAAUAGAAGACCCCUUACUAGUGAAAGGAUGCAAAAGGGUAAGGGACAAGGUCAGCGUGAAUAGAGUCAAGAAACAGGACUAAAUUACCUUAGGGUUUCACAUAGCCCUUGGUGAUGCCCGACUA
Non-coding RNA from Camellia sinensis, 1493 nucleotides. The record is from RefSeq and is a predicted model, not a curated record. Lineage: Eukaryota; Viridiplantae; Streptophyta; Magnoliopsida; Ericales; Theaceae.